RNAcentral lists this long non-coding RNA (210 nucleotides) under Nicotiana benthamiana. RNAcentral's name for it is "long non-coding RNA (NBEN_LNC032089)". The record is from RNAcentral. Lineage: Eukaryota; Viridiplantae; Streptophyta; Magnoliopsida; Solanales; Solanaceae.
AGGUUCAUAUUAUGAUAUUCGAGGAUCUAUAUAUACAAAUGAUAAUUCAUCCCAUGUAACCUUUUCUCAAGUGUUUAUCAUGUCUCUCCCUCAUGUUAGGAAAACUAACUUAUUUUCUCAACUCUGGGAAAUCAUCUUUGUGCAUUAUCAUGUAAUAUACACAGCACAUUAAUAAUAAUAAGAUGAAAUUAUUUGGUUCCUGACCCUGAA